AUAACAAUGCAAGUCAGAACGGAAAUUUUCGGAUUUUAGUGGCAGAACGGGUGAGUAACACGUAAGCAACCUGCCUUUAAGACGAGGAUAACAAUUGGAAACAGUUGCUAAGACUGGAUAGGAAAUAAAAAGGCAUCUUUUUAUUUUUAAAAGACCUUUUUCGGAAGGUAUGCUUAAAGAGGGGCUUGCGUCACAUUAGUUAGUUGGCAGGGUAAAGGCCUACCAAGACUAUGAUGUGUAGCUGGACUGAGAGGUUGAACAGCCACAUUGGGACUGAGACACGGCCCAAACUCCUACGGGAGGCAGCAGUAGGGAAUUUUCGGCAAUGGAGGAAACUCUGACCGAGCAACGCCGCGUGAACGAUGAAGUAUUUCGGUAUGUAAAAUUCUUUUUUAUU
RNAcentral lists this unclassified non-coding RNA (397 nucleotides) under Candidatus Phytoplasma sacchari. RNAcentral describes it as "bacterial SSU rRNA". It matches the Rfam family "Bacterial small subunit ribosomal RNA", at positions 50 to 442 of the family's 1533-position model. The record is from RNAcentral. Lineage: Bacteria; Bacillati; Mycoplasmatota; Mollicutes; Acholeplasmatales; Acholeplasmataceae.